Helianthus annuus (common sunflower) is the source of this 2679-nucleotide long non-coding RNA. RefSeq lists it as uncharacterized. The record is from RefSeq and is a predicted model, not a curated record. The transcript is spliced from 2 exons. Lineage: Eukaryota; Viridiplantae; Streptophyta; Magnoliopsida; Asterales; Asteraceae.
UGGCUCCCUAUAUAUAUAUAUAUAUUCCUUUUAUUUUUGGAGUAUUUCAUUUAUAAUAAUAAUAAAGCUAUGCUCCGUUUUAAGUAUUGUAACUCCCGAUCAUCGCUACCCUUUCCGAUUGAUCUGGAACCCAUAACUCAUGUCAGGGCUCUGCCCAACUAAGUUCGUUGGGAUUCUGUCUCGGGACAUCGGGAUAAGGUUGAAUUAGGGGUACUAUACUUACCACGAGUGCAUUAUAUAUUUUUAAUAGUCUAGAAGUUAUACCCAAAAUUUAUACCAAGAGACUUUCUAGUUGAACCCUAAAGUUAUAAAGUGGGUCCAUUCUCUUUUCUCACCAAAACUAUUGAUUAUUAUAUUUUGUCCAAAAGGAAACCCUAAUUGAAACCCCCAAGUAAUCUUGCAUAAAGCCUAAAAUUUUCAUAACAAUCAGAAUCAGAGUCAGGGCCCCUAAAACUCAGAGGGGGAUAUUCCCUAAUCAGAAUUAUCUUUAUAAUUCAUUGUCAAAAUUGAAUUUUUACGAUACGUUGACUCAGCAGACCUAAGUAGGUGACGAAGCAGGCCUAGCCUACUUUGGAUUCCCCCGCGACACGCGACAGAUCCCGGGGAUCCUGUCGCGACACGCGGGCGGGUCCAAAUCAGGCUAUAAAUCCAGGGGCUGGGACUUGCUCAGUUUGAUUGUUUCGACGAUAAAUUUCAAUUCGUACAUUGAGUUAUCGUCUGUUUACUACAUAACACACAUAGCACAAAACGCUGCCGCGACAAUAGGGUAAUAACUCGAUCGCUAUUACGAUUCCAUGUCCGAUCGAUUGGAACUAUCCAAUGGAUGUUUAAGUGCUGCUCAAACUCGAGUUAUACUUUCUCGUUCGUCGUGAUUCCGACAGGAUGUUUGAGUGUCACCCGAACUCGGGCUAUACUCUGUCAUUCGUUGCGAAUCCGCUGGAUGUUUAAGUAUCGCACUUUGUCAUUCAUUGUGAGGGUUUAAUCUCGUGAGUUAUCGUAAAUGAUGUACUAGUUAUUUACCUAGUUUCGUGUGCAUUAUUGUUUAAAUUAGGUUAUCAGGCUUAUCCGUAGGCUAAACUCUACCCCAUACACUUACAAUUAAAGUAGAUGCUAAUUCUCAGAAGAACUUGAAUCAGGAAGCUUGUUAAAUCAAUACUGCAUGCUUAUAAUGUGAGUCAUUCUCUUUUUACCAAACUUGCUUUCAAAAUCAUGUUUGUUUUCAAAGUUAUAAUUACAGGGAUUAAGUCUUUGUAGUCUUCAUUAAAGCCGGUAUGUGGGGUUUUGUAUACAUUACUUGUUAAUCCAUCACCAUUGGACAACGAGAUAGCCAAGGGGUGAUAUGACCAUAGUCACAGACACCAUUGGACAACGAGAUAGCCAAUGGGUGGUCGAGUGACAAAUACCGUGGGUAUAUGGUUGACAUGUAGAAACAUUGUAAUCGCUCUUAAUACUAUAAAUUAUAACUAUGAGUCAUUUUGUGCAAACUGAAUGAACUCACUCAGUAUUUCCUGCUGACAAAACCUUUUUAAAAUGCAUUCCAGGUAAUUACAGUAGAUUGGAAUAAGAGUUGGAUACGGCACCAAAAGGCUUACAAAAGUGGCUUGAUUUAUUAAUUCAAUUAAAUUAUGAAAAGUUGUUUUGUGUAUUCGGGUUUAUCCCCUAUUAAAGCUACCUUUGUAAAACAUGGGUUUUUAUCCCAUUUAUUUAAUAAAUAAAAUCCGGUGUUUCGAAACUCUGAUAUUUUUCCUAACUAACGGUCCUGACGAAAUUUCCGCUGCAAAAUGUUCAAAAAUAACCACCGGUACCACUUGGCUGUUCGCGGCUCCCGAUUCUGUCCAGGGUAGGGUCGGGGGACGUGACAUGUGGUCCCCUUCCGGAUUGUCAUCGUGUGGUCCAGAACUCCUCCAAAAAAUAACUUUUGGAUUUGGAUAUGUACUUGUUCUCGGUUAAAGUAUAAAAGGGAAGGUGAAACUGAACUUCAAUGAGACCCGUAUGGGUCGAUGAGAGGCAUAUGCAAGUGGGGUGUCAUAAAUGUCCUGUCAACUUUUCAGAAAAGGUGGGUGGAUAUGGGUCUCAUCGGGCUAUACGAGGCAUAUGGGCUAAAAAGUUGUCAGGAUCCGUACCCACCAUACGCGCGUAUGGGCCUAUGAGCGGCAUAUUGGUUUGUUUUUUUUUUUUUAAAAAAAAAGCUUGUAUAUGUUGGUUGCAAAUGUCGGGUAUUUUUGUCAUCCUUACUUGCCACAGAAAUAUACACCAUCUUCACAAUCACAAAUUCACAAUGGUUUUUUGCAAAUGUGGUAGGACGGCUGCACUAAGAACAUCUUGGACUGAAGCUAAUCCCGGACGUCAAUUUUACACUUGUCACAGUCUGCAUUCUAAGUGCAACUUCUUUGUGUGGGUUGAUCCUCCCAUGUGUCGUCGGGCAUGUGUGGUCAUCAAAGAACUGAUGGAUACGAAGGCUGUGCUGAAAACCGAAGUCAAUUUUUUGAGAGAGGAGGUUCGAAUUUAUAAAUUGCAAGAAGCGGAAUUUGAAGGAUUUCAUUCAAGUGUUGUUCGUAAGAGGGAACGUUGGUUGAUAAUCAGUUGGAUUUUUUUUGUGUUGUUUGUCUUGUUAUUUUUCAUUGUUAGUAUGUAAGUUUAUCCAAGACAUGUAAUCGAAUAUUAGUAUAUGUAAUCGAA